GUCCACGCCCUAAACGAUGUCAACUAGUUGUCGGGUCUUAACGGACUUGGUAACGCAGCUAACGCGUGAAGUUGACCGCCUGGGGAGUACGGUCGCAAGAUUAAAACUCAAAGGAAUUGACGGGGACCCGCACAAGCGGUGGAUUAUGUGGAUUAAUUCGAUGCAACGCGAAAAACCUUACCUACCCUUGACAUGUACCGAAGCCCGCUGAGAGGUGGGUGUGCCCGAAAGGGAGCGGUAACACAGGUGCUGCAUGGCUGUCGU
Molecule: ribosomal RNA, 264 nt
Filed under: uncultured bacterium
Lineage: Bacteria
Description: partial 16S ribosomal RNA
Rfam family: Bacterial small subunit ribosomal RNA
Source: RNAcentral